GAGGUAGGUGCAAAUGGUGUUUGCCGGUUGUCUGCAAAACAACUUGUUUGGGAGUUCGAUCCUCCUCUAUCUCUC
RNAcentral lists this transfer RNA (75 nucleotides) under Streptomyces phage Coruscant. RNAcentral's name for it is "tRNA-Cys". Lineage: Duplodnaviria; Heunggongvirae; Uroviricota; Caudoviricetes; Stanwilliamsviridae. The record is from RNAcentral.